Molecule: long non-coding RNA, 773 nt
Organism: Homo sapiens (human)
Lineage: Eukaryota; Metazoa; Chordata; Mammalia; Primates; Hominidae
Exons: 4
Source: RefSeq, a predicted model, not a curated record
AUCGAGCCUAAGCCAGUCUUUUGGAAGACAAGAAGCAAUGAUGUCCUGAUUUGCUGAGGUUUGUUUUGUGGCCUAACAUCUGAUCUACCCUGAAGACACUUCCAUGUGCUGAUGAGGAGAAUGCAUACUCUUCAGCUGUUGAGUGGGAUGUUCUGUGACUAUCUGCAUGAACUUUUUGAUGUACAAUGAAUGUAUGAAGAAAAGAAUGUUAAUGGAAUUAGUUUUUACUGCUAAAGGAUCUAGUUUGAGGCACUAAGAAGGAUAAGACAUCAAUUUGAAAAGAAGUCCUAUGAGAGCAACAAGAAUUCUGCUAAAAUUGAAGCAAAAAUACACAUCAAAUUUAUGAUGAAGCUAAAAUGGAAGAAUGGUGAAAUAAUUGAAACUUUACUAAAAACUUAUAGGUACAAUGGCCCAAAGAAAUCAAGUAUUUGCAAAUGGAUAACUUGUUUCAAGAAGGAAUUAGAUGAUGUUGAAGAAGACGCCCGCAAUGGCAGACCAUCCAUAUCAAUUUGUGAGCAAAAAAUUCAUGUUGUUCAGCCCUAAUUGAAGUGGACUGAUUAUUAACCGCACAAACAAUAGUCAACACUGUAAGCAUCUCAAGUGGUUCAGCUUACACAACUCCGACUGAAAAAUUAAAGUUGAGCAAUCAUAUUGCCCAAUGGGUGUCAAAACCAUUGUGCCCAGAUCAGCUGCAGAUGAGAGCAGAGCUUUCAAUGGCAAUUUUAAACAAGUAUAUAUUAGUAGGUUAUUGCAUUACUGUAAAGCAAUACCUG